Molecule: ribosomal RNA, 1382 nt
Filed under: uncultured bacterium
Lineage: Bacteria
Description: 16S ribosomal RNA
Rfam family: Bacterial small subunit ribosomal RNA
Source: RNAcentral
UUCGCCCUUAGAGUUUGAUCCUGGCUCAGGACGAACGCUGGCGGCGCGCCUAACACAUGCAAGUCGAACGAGAGAGAGGGAGCUUGCUUCCUUGAUCGAGUGGCGAACGGGUGAGUAACGCGUGAGGAACCUGCCUCAAAGAGGGGGACAACAGUUGGAAACGACUGCUAAUACCGCAUAAGCCCACGACCCGGCAUCGGGAAGAGGGAAAAGGAGCAAUCCGCUUUGAGAUGGCCUCGCGUCCGAUUAGCUAGUUGGUGAGGUAACGGCCCACCAAGGCGACGAUCGGUAGCCGGACUGAGAGGUUGAACGGCCACAUUGGGACUGAGACACGGCCCAGACUCCUACGGGAGGCAGCAGUGGGGAAUAUUGCACAAUGGGGGAAACCCUGAUGCAGCGACGCCGCGUGGAGGAAGAAGGUCUUCGGAUUGUAAACUCCUGUUGUUGAGGAAGAUAAUGACGGUACUCAACAAGGAAGUGACGGCUAACUACGUGCCAGCAGCCGCGGUAAAACGUAGGUCACAAGCGUUGUCCGGAAUUACUGGGUGUAAAGGGAGCGCAGGCGGGCGAUCAAGUUGGAAGUGAAAUCCAUGGGCUCAACCCAUGAACUGCUUUCAAAACUGGUCGUCUUGAGUAGUGCAGAGGUAGGCGGAAUUCCCGGUGUAGCGGUGGAAUGCGUAGAUAUCGGGAGGAACACCAGUGGCGAAGGCGGCCUACUGGGCACCAACUGACGCUGAGGCUCGAAAGUGUGGGUAGCAAACAGGAUUAGAUACCCUGGUAGUCCACACCGUAAACGAUGAUUACUAGGUGUUGGGAGAUUGACCCUCUCAGUGCAGGCAAGUUAACACAAUAAGUAAUCCACCUGGGGAGUACGACCGCAAGGUUGAAACUCAAAGGAAAUUGACGGGGGCCCGCACAAGCAGUGGAGUAUGUGGUUUAAUUCGACGCAACGCGAAGAACCUUACCAAGUCUUGACAUCCUCUGACGAACGUAGAAAUACGUUUUCUCUUCGGAGCAGAGAGACAGGUGGUGCAUGGUUGUCGUCAGCUCGUGUCGUGAGAUGUUGGGUUAAGUCCCGCAACGAGCGCAACCCUUAUGGUCAGUUACUACGCAAGAGGACUCUGGCCAGACUGCCGUUGACAAAACGGAGGAAGGUGGGGAUGACGUCAAAUCAUCAUGCCCUUUAUGACUUGGGCUACACACGUACUACAAUGGCGUUAAACAAAGAGAAGCAAGACCGCGAGGUGGAGCAAAACUCAGAAACAACGUCCCAGUUCGGACUGCAGGCUGCAACUCGCCUGCACGAAGUCGGAAUUGCUAGUAAUCGUGGAUCAGCAUGCCACGGUGAAUACGUUCCCGGGCCUUGCACACACCGCCCGUCA